This 70-nucleotide transfer RNA is filed under the name Marmota monax (woodchuck). RNAcentral describes it as "tRNA.Ala". The stretch from base 7 to 67 matches the Rfam family "tRNA", at positions 6 to 65 of the family's 71-position model. From Rfam's summary of the family: Transfer RNA (tRNA) molecules are approximately 80 nucleotides in length. Their secondary structure includes four short double-helical elements and three loops (D, anti-codon, and T loops). Lineage: Eukaryota; Metazoa; Chordata; Mammalia; Rodentia; Sciuridae. The record is from RNAcentral.
GGAGUUUGUAGCUCAGUGGUAGAGCACUUGCCUAGCAUGUGUGGGGUACUGGGUUCAAUCCCCAGCACCA